This 253-nucleotide ribosomal RNA is filed under the name uncultured bacterium. Its description in RNAcentral is "partial 16S ribosomal RNA". It matches the Rfam family "Bacterial small subunit ribosomal RNA", at positions 524 to 776 of the family's 1533-position model. The record is from RNAcentral.
UACGUAGGGUGCAAGCGUUAAUCGGAAUUACUGGGCGUAAAGCGUGCGUAGUCGGUUAUCUAAGUCGGAUGUGAAAUCCCCGGGCUCAACCUGGGAAUUGCAUUCGAUACUGGAUAGCUAGAGUUCGGCAGAGGGAAGUGGAAUUUCGGGUGUAGCGGUGAAAUGCGUAGAUAUCCGAAGGAACAUCAGUGGCGAAAGCGACUUCCUGGACCAGAACUGACGAUCAGGCACGAAAGCGUGGGGAGCAAACAGG